CGCUCCCAAGUCCCGAAGACGAAAGAAGGAGAGAGAGAGAGAGAGAGAGAGAGAGAGAGAGGGGUUGGGAACUGCACAAAGGUAAAGCAAGAUAACGAGCGCGACGAAAAAGUUAGGUGCGACAGCGGUCAGUGGACCGUAGUAACUCCCCUCCCCCACUCUUCAUUAUUACCGAAAACAACCUCGAAGCUGUGACGACGACAGCAGUAACACCUCCACGCCCUCCGUUCCUAUUUAUUCCGUCACCCCUCCCAGAAGACAACCUCCUUCCCCAACAACCCCAACAGCUUCACUCGGAGGGUGCGCGGAAUACACAGAGGAGGCGAUGAAGGAGGUCGUCAAGUUGGAGGAGGAGAACGGAGGAGUGGUAGACCCUCGGCUGCAGGCCAUCAAGGCUGCCAUCCGUGUGGUUCCCCACUUCCCCAAGCCAGGGAUCAUGUUCAAUGAUAUUACGACCAUGCUGCUGCGGCCCAAGGUGUUCAAGGAUGCCGUGGAGAUCUUCGUCGAUCGCUACAGGGACCUGAGCAUCUCCGCAGUUGCUGGAGUUGAAGCUAGAGGAUUCAUAUUUGGCCCGCCAAUUGCUUUAGCACUUGGUGCAAAGUUCAUACCAUUGCGUAAGCCUAAGAAGUUGCCAGGUGAGGUUAUUUCAGAAUCUUACGUUCUGGAGUAUGGCACUGACUCCUUGGAAAUGCAUGUUGGAGCUGUUCAGCCAGGGGAGCGUGUAAUUAUCAUUGAUGAUUUGGUUGCUACUGGUGGGACACUAUGUGCUGCAAUAAACCUUCUAGAGCGUGUUGGAGCUGAUGUGGUUGAAUGUGCAUGUCUGAUUGGUUUACCUAAAUUUAAGGGUGGUUGCUGGCUAAAUGGAAAACCGGUGUAUGUACUUGUUGACUGCCGACAAUAGGAUGUCAUCCAGAUAUCUACAAAACAACUUGAAACGGAGCAUCUAAUAGCAGUUCAUGGGAGUCAUCAGUCAAUACAGCACAAGAAAGAGCGUAAUGCAUCUUACCUGACAUAUACCUGUCAUUGGUGAUGAAGGAUAAAUUUUGGUUAGGGAAUAUUUACAUACAAGCUUGUGAUCCAAGGUUGCAACGGAUAUGAACUAUUGUGGGCAAGCAGUCGAUGUUUGAUGAGUCGUGGUAGAAUAGUUAUGGGUAGCUUUACAUGUUCAGUAGUCCUGGGGUUCUCUAUGAAAAUUCUGGAGUUCAGUUAAUUUGUCUUCUUUUUCAUUGUUCCAGUUUUGCACUAAGAAAUUUGAUCUACAUACACUUGGACCUUAAAAGAAAUUUGAAAUAAAAGUUCAUUUUCUUGGAAAUCA
Molecule: RNA transcript, 1315 nt
Organism: Musa acuminata AAA Group (dessert banana)
Lineage: Eukaryota; Viridiplantae; Streptophyta; Magnoliopsida; Zingiberales; Musaceae
Gene name: adenine phosphoribosyltransferase 4-like
Exons: 8
Source: RefSeq, a predicted model, not a curated record